GGACUACCGGGGUAUCUAAUCCUGUUUGCUACCCACGCUUUCGUGCCUCAGCGUCAGUUACCGUCCAGUAAGCCGUCUACACCGCAGGUGUUCCUCCUGAUAUCUACGCAUUUCACCGCUACACCAGGAAUUCCGCUUACCUCUCCGGCACUCCAGCAUCUCAGUAUUCGCCGCACCCUCCCGGUUAAGCCGGGAGAUUUCACAACAAACUUAAGACACCGCCUACGCACGCUUUACGCCCAGUAACUCCGAACAACGCUCGCUGCCUACGUAUUACCGCGGCUGCUGGCAC
RNAcentral lists this ribosomal RNA (292 nucleotides) under uncultured Acidobacteriota bacterium. RNAcentral's name for it is "uncultured Acidobacteria bacterium partial 16S ribosomal RNA". Lineage: Bacteria; Pseudomonadati; Acidobacteriota. The record is from RNAcentral.